AGAAAUAUGAUCUGACUUUUAUUUUUAAGAAGGGGUUUUGUCUGCCCCACAGUGAGUAGAUUGAAAGAGAGGCAAGAGUAAAAAUGGAAAGACCAGCAAAGAAGCUACCAGUUAGCCAUGGCAAGAAGAGAUAUGUCUAAUUUUAAGGUAUGUGAAAAUUGAGUCCUGAAAGGACCUGCCCAAGGUUAUAGAGAGUGAGCGGAAGGGCCAGGACUCUAAGGUGUGCCCGCUCCUAGUCCUAAACAUAAAUGCCUUUUCUGUGACAAAGAGGAUGAAUUCCCACAUCUCUGAAAAAAUAAAAAUUGAGAAGUGAAAGAGUGGUUCUCAACAGAAAGCCAGAAGUGCAAGACAGAAAGUUUAGUAUCAUUGUUCUUUUGCAACUGAAGAUAUCGAUAGCAUGCAUAUAACUGGAGGGAAAAACCAACACAUCGUACGCAUCUGCACAGCCCUUUUUCAAUCUGCUCAUGGUAAUAGUUCAAAGGACUUUCAUCACUGUCAGCUACCUCCUAAGGGGCAAGUAUUAAUACCACACAGAGGUAGGUCCUAACAUUUCUGUUGCUCACCGCUUCUUGGAUCCUCUCCCAUUCAGCUUUGCCCAGAGCAGUUCAGAAAAGCUGGAUUGUAGUAGCUUAGUUUUACAAACAAUUAAAUGACAAGUCUCCUUUAUUUAUGAGCCUGAAAUACUAUUUCACGUUUCAGUGAUUUUAAGCAAUUCAGGGGAUAAAGGUACUUUAGCAGUAGUAUCUAUUAUGAUAUUCUUUUAAAAACUAAGUUCAUAGUUUGUAGAAUUAAAACAUGAGGUAGAAUUUGAAGAUAG
Long non-coding RNA from Canis lupus familiaris (dog), 817 nucleotides. RefSeq lists it as uncharacterized. The record is from RefSeq and is a predicted model, not a curated record. The transcript has 3 exons. NCBI's taxonomy places the organism in Eukaryota, Metazoa, Chordata, Mammalia, Carnivora, Canidae.